RNAcentral lists this ribosomal RNA (468 nucleotides) under uncultured bacterium. Its description in RNAcentral is "bacterial SSU rRNA". It matches the Rfam family "Bacterial small subunit ribosomal RNA", at positions 355 to 825 of the family's 1533-position model. The record is from RNAcentral.
UCGGGAAUUUUGGGCAAUGGGCGCAAGCCUGAUCCAGCCAUGCCGCGUGCAGGAUGACGGUCCUAUGGAUUGUAAACUGCUUUUUGUACAGGAAGAAACAGUUCUACGUGUAGAACCUUGACGGUACUGUAAGAAUAAGGAUCGGCUAACUCCGUGCCAGCAGCCGCGGUAAUACGGAGGAUCCAAGCGUUAUCCGGAAUCAUUGGGUUUAAAGGGUCCGUAGGCGGUUAGAUAAGUCAGUGGUGAAAGCCCAUCGCUCAACGGUGGAACGGCCAUUGAUACUGUCUGACUUGAAUUAUUAGGAAGUAACUAGAAUAUGUAGUGUAGCGGUGAAAUGCUUAGAGAUUACAUGGAAUACCAAUUGCGAAGGCAGGUUACUACUAAUGGAUUGACGCUGAUGGACGAAAGCGUGGGUAGCGAACAGGAUUAGAUACCCUCGUAGUCCCUGAGCGGGCUGGCAAGGCGCAU